AGAAUUGACGGGUUUAGAUCGAU
RNAcentral lists this non-coding RNA (23 nucleotides) under Arabidopsis thaliana (thale cress). The record is from RNAcentral. Lineage: Eukaryota; Viridiplantae; Streptophyta; Magnoliopsida; Brassicales; Brassicaceae.